AUGUGUCUAGAGAUAGCUUUUUUCACCAUAUCACUUCAUGGCAACUUUUGCAAUUUUUUUUGUAAACUUUGUAGUGUUGGCAAUUUUUUUAUACUGUACAGAUGCAAUGAUUUAUUCCUUUUUUCUUGUUAUUUUUUAAAACAUAAACUUAAACAUGGCAGUUUUUUCAUAGAAUGGCAAAAAUCCAUGGCAAUUUUUUCGUGCAAUAGACCAUUGUUUAUUAGUAAUCACAGAAAAAACUGGGCUUCUUUUACUAGUUGUAACUUAAUAUGGGCUUUAUUUUUCGUUUUCCUUUUCACAGGAAAAAGGCCUGUAGGGCCCGAUGGUGGGGCGUUCGUGCUGGGGCGUUCUCCUCCCGAACGAGUCGUUCGGUCGAUGCCCCUCCCGUCCCGAACGAAGCCUUCGGGGUCCUUUUUUUAUAUAAAUUUGAUCAAACUUUGCUUCUUAUAA
Molecule: ribosomal RNA, 450 nt
Filed under: Triticum aestivum (bread wheat)
Lineage: Eukaryota; Viridiplantae; Streptophyta; Magnoliopsida; Poales; Poaceae
Description: partial small subunit ribosomal RNA
Source: RNAcentral